This 110-nucleotide non-coding RNA is filed under the name Chloroflexota bacterium. RNAcentral describes it as "Chloroflexi bacterium TPP sequence". It matches the Rfam family "TPP riboswitch aptamer (THI element)". Rfam says of the family: Vitamin B(1) in its active form thiamin pyrophosphate (TPP) is an essential coenzyme that is synthesised by coupling of pyrimidine and thiazole moieties in bacteria. The previously detected thiamin-regulatory element, thi box was extended, resulting in a new, highly conserved RNA secondary structure, the THI element, which is widely distributed in eubacteria and also occurs in some archaea. Lineage: Bacteria; Bacillati; Chloroflexota. The record is from RNAcentral.
AUUGGCGGCUGGCGGAGCUCGCGAGAGCUGAGAGUGGGCCGGAAUGAAGGCCCAGACGCCACGAACCUGAUCCGGGUAAUGCCGGCGGAGGGAAGCAUGAGCACCUCUAC